UACGUAGGGUCCGAGCGUUGUCCGGAAUUAUUGGGCGUAAAGAGCUCGUAGGCGGUUUGUCGCGUCUGCUGUGAAAUCCCGAGGCUCAACCUCGGGCCUGCAGUGGGUACGGGCAGACUUGAGUGGUGUAGGGGAGACUGGAAUUCCUGGUGUAGCGGUGGAAUGCGCAGAUAUCAGGAGGAACACCGAUGGCGAAGGCAGAUCUCUGGGCCGUAACUGACGCUGAGGAGCGAAAGCAUGGGGAGCGAACAGG
Molecule: ribosomal RNA, 253 nt
Filed under: uncultured bacterium
Lineage: Bacteria
Description: partial 16S ribosomal RNA
Rfam family: Bacterial small subunit ribosomal RNA
Source: RNAcentral